AUGGCGAUUAAGCUCUCCGAUUCAAACAAUAGACACGAAAAUAGUGUACAUGAUGAGGAAGAGGAAAUUCUUACCUACCAGAGAACUCCAGUGGUUCUUCAACAGCGGCGGAGAAGAGAAAACUCGAACAUGUAUGCUUUUCAAUUCUUUGAUUCUGCAGAUUCCGAUUUCGUUUCUUCACUUUUAUCUCUUCUACUUGUUUCUUCUGAGAAAUUCUUUUGUUCAUGA
Non-coding RNA from Vicia faba (fava bean), 228 nucleotides. NCBI's taxonomy places the organism in Eukaryota, Viridiplantae, Streptophyta, Magnoliopsida, Fabales, Fabaceae. The record is from the annotation of a GenBank genome assembly.